Molecule: long non-coding RNA, 3968 nt
Organism: Gallus gallus (chicken)
Lineage: Eukaryota; Metazoa; Chordata; Aves; Galliformes; Phasianidae
Exons: 4
Source: RefSeq, a predicted model, not a curated record
GUGGGGGAGGGGAGGAAGUGGGAGGCGAACGUGAGACCGAGCCCUCAACCACGAAAUGGGAGGCCAAUGGAUUAGCCAAGGCAACAGAUUUGAAGGAGGAGGUGGAAUACAGAGCUUUGAUGAUGCCUUCUACAUUGACUGAUUCCUCCAGACAGACAUGUGGCAGUUAUGAUGGACAGGAACAUGUAAAUCUUCACUGAGUAUGAAUUAACAAUUAGAAAAUAAAGGAGUGAAACAAACAAGAGGAGAAGACAAAAAUGUAUUUCAUAUGAUGACACCAUGCAAUGAUCUGGUGGAACUGGGACAGCUGCUAAGAGAGGACUACAGUCCCCAGAGUGGUCUGGUCCUUCCCACAUGGUUUCUGGGAGGGAGAUACAAAGUGAUGUAGUGAUGUGGGGAUGCUCUUUUGCUCUGCACCACAGCCUGCAGCACACAGUUAGGAGACUCUCCCUUUCCCAUUUGUUUAUGACUUUUUAUUCCUUUUAUAUUGUAUUAUCUUCCAUGCCUUUACCAUUUUUAGUAAAAUAGUUUAUCUCAAUCGAGCAGCAACUCCUCCUUCUCACUUUUCUGACAGCUUCCUGUGAGGGGGAGGGGCUGGGGAAAUGGAGCUAGGCCCUGUCGCACGACAGGAAAAAAAAAAAAAAAGAAAAAAAUUCAUCCCACGACAAGCAUUUAAAAUAUUUUCUUCAAUAUUCUUGAUAUAAAUACAUUAUUUUCCUAUUGUUCAAAUUCCAUCUCUGACUGAGAAGACAGUAACCAUCUAGCUGAACAGGCAGGAAAUGUGCGCAUGCGUACUCAUGGGUACUCCAUAGAGGCAUUAAGACUCUCCAGCUUUAUCUCUUAGUCACAGACCAGUAUUUCUGCUGCUGCUAGUAAGCAAAACAACUUGUCACCAACAGCAGAUACUGCUCAGAAAUUACCACCUGAUCAUAAGGUUCCCCUUCUACUCAACAUGUCUGUAUAAAGUACGAGUGGAGAGGCAGCAGGAAGAACGCACAUCUUGAGCAUAAAGAUCUGAUGCUGAUAAGUCAAGAUUUGGAAGGACCUCCUUGAGUCACUGGAGGGCUGACUGUUGUGGGAGCAUCAAGAAAAGCUGAGCCAGCAAAAGUUUCAAGGUCCUGAAGAGUUUUGCACCUGGCCCACCACAUCAGUGCUGCACUUGUGCCUGAUCACCAGGGACAAUUGUGUUCCUGUUUCCAUUGUGCAGUCAUGCAGAAAACAUCUCUCAUCCGAGCUCGAAGCGGUGGCGUGAGUUACACAUUGGUGGUGUGAGUCACACAUUACAGGCUGGCGUCAGCCACUUCCAGGAAGGAGGGCAGACAUGGCAGCAGGACUGGUGGAAUGGGGUGGCGCCUCUCUCCAGAGUAAGGAAGCCCAAUCCCCAUCCCUUGGCAGUGAAACUGACCUAAAAGUCUGACACACAUUUUAUUGUCUUCAGCCAUAGUUUUGGAAGAAUGGGCUGCAAACAGAGGCAUUCCUGCAGAGCAGAGCAGUGAAGGCCUCCUGACACCUCUAGAGCCCAUGUGGUAAUUUGUGUGAGUUGCCAUGCUUGUGUAACAGGUUUGGCUGGUCCAGAUACAACCCCUCAGCAGCUGCCUGCAUUUCUGGCAGCAUUAGCCAUCACCUAGCAACCGUGAAUUGUCACUGUCUUCUGUUUUGUCACCUCCUAAAGAGAAAGGGGUGUUGGAAGGCUUCUCUGUAUCCUUUCCCAUACAAUCAUCUAGUAUAGGAUUGUCAUUCCCCUGUUGCUGGAGGGGUGUCUCUCCUUCUAACCUUUAAGAAAUUUGGCUAAAGGAAAUGAAAAACCCAUACAGUCAAGCCCAGACUCACCUCCUCUUUAAAACUGUUUUGAUCUGCUGAGGAUCAAAGGAAGGCUGCAUUGACACCCAAUAUUCUCCAGAAUGGACAAUGGAACUUUUGUGAUUCACGCUACACUUCUGUACCUGGGUCUCAUUCACAUGCACAAGCAGUGUUGCAGAUCUGUCUGACUGCUCCCAGAAAGAUCACUCCUCCCUGGUUAGCUGCACCUUCAGAUCCCUUUCAGCCACGGAACAGUCUGGCUUUAAACUGAGUCCAGAGGCGAGAGGGAAAAAAAAAAAGUGGUUUCCUGACUUCUUGUUCUCCUAAUGCUUUAGCCCAUUUUCCAUUCAGAAGCCUUCUUCAAAUACAGUUUUAUAGCAUCUAAAUAGAAUGUGAAAAAAAAAAUCAACUGUCAAAUUUUGUCACUUGGUCUCUAAGUAGAUGCUUUAUUAAGGCUUGUUUACACAUGAAGCUUUCCCUAAUUAAGUCCAUGUGUGGAUAGUUUUGUUCUGAAUAAGGAACAUUCAUGAGCAGAACAGUCACUGCGUUUUUAAAUUCAUUCCCUUUCUGCUUUAAAAAGAAAUAUAUUUUUGUGAGCUUUUCUAUCUGCCAGUGCAACAUAGAAAACUGAAGACAGUAUGAGUGCUCUUCAUGCAGUCACAUGGCUUAAGAGAGGGUGAGAAGAAUUGUGCUCUGAAGUUCACAAUCCAGCUUGUUUUGUAGUAUUUUAUUUAUACAGACAGUCCUUAACCUUUUUUUGUUUAUUCCUUUUCUUUCCCCCCCCACAUCAGCCUAAAAUGCAUUGUUUUGAUAGGGAGAACUUUCUCAAUUCUAGGAUAACGUGGCAUUAAGAAUGUUUAUUGGACAAAUAUUAGUACUUCGGGGUGGGUGGGGGGUGGAGGAGAAGAGGUACUUAAGUGGUUAUUUGAAUGAAAAGUCUUGUACAGAAGCUAAUUCCUUUAGGCUUAAUUAUUAUUUUUUUUGUUGUUAAUGAAUGUUUAAUGUUCAGUUCAUUACAUUGCCAUCAUCUCACUAUGUCCAGCCAUUCUUCUAUGCAAUUUCCAUUGCAUCACCACACCUAAUUCCAUGGAAAGUUCCUUUAAAGUCAAGCCCAUUUGAGAAUGAAAAUAUAUUCCAGCAUGCAUAUACUGGCACAGGUGCUAUAAUUAUGGCUAGUUACUGGUAGCGAGUGAAAUAUUUUUGCCCCCUCCCACAAAAAAAGAUGGGAGAGAAGAAAAGAAAUAUAGUCUUGGUUUUCAUAAAAGUUCGGUAAAAUUGGAACAUUUUAAAGGUUUUUUCAGUGUUCUUAAUUUCUUAAAGUUUGACUGAAAUACUAAAGAAAAUUCAGCCCUUCUAGUUUCAAUGACAAAUGGAGGUACAGAGUCAAAAGGUCUAAGCAUGAAUGCAGUUACUCAGCAAGGGGCACUACUGCCAAUUUAUCAGGGUUUGUUCAAAUGAGACCUAACUACUGCUGCAUGUCUACCUGCAAAGUUUGCUGGUGUAAAUGUACUAUCUUAAUAAACACUUCUUAGUAGACAUAAAGCCUUCUGUUAAAUGUCCCAUGCCCAAGGGCAAUCACAUCACCUUGAUGCCUUUUUAUAAACUCUGCUUUUGUUGAUCUAAAUCUUGUUUCUCUACCAGAUGUUAGCAUGUUGCUGAAAUCACAUGAGAACAACAAUCUGGAAUUGGCUCUAGGAUUUGAUCACACGAGAACACAGUGAUAGGUCAGCUGUCAUGACCUACUUAGCUUUCUGGAAGGAGUGCUGCAGUCUCCUGAUGAUGGUAAAGCCCUUGUACAGGUGGGCACAUUCUGCUGUUGUUGUUUUUUAUAUGAUAUUUGCUGUACUCAUGGGCAAGUUCAAUUCUUAUGUAGAAACAGGUAGGGUAUGAAGCCCAGGUAGCAGUUAAUAGUUAUGCCUGUGCUUUUCUUUUCAGCAAGUAAUGAGUUCCUCCUAACACCAUGCAGUCUGUUGGCCACCAGCUCAGCUCAGCAAUAUGAGCUAUGGUAGAAAGGGGAGGGAAGGUCAACACAAGAAUGGUGUAGGAGAGGGUUUCCAUUCCAGGCAUAGGGUUUUGGUAAGGGCAGCAGUGUUCAGAUAAGAAGUAUUCAAAUGAUCUAAAGAAAAAAUUCUCUCUCCCCUGCCUCCUCUUUUUUUUUUUUUUUUUUU